CCCAGGACAGAAGUCCCUCGCCAACUAGAAAUCUCCUUACCGCCGCCUUCGACCCUGCUUAGGUGUGCCUUUGAGCACACAGUGAGAAGUUGGGCUCAGUAUAUGCAAACUGCAUCCUGGUGUUGGAGAGAACUGGAAAGAGGGGUUAGGAAUUGGCGGAAGAAGAGUAAGAGCUACGGGCAAAGUACGCAGCAAUAAAAGCAGGUCUCAGCUCAAACAUCACCUCCUUCUUCCUGGACCGCCUAUCAUGAGUGAGGAUGCUUUGAAACAAGACAGCCCAAGCAGCUGGCACCUACACCAAGAGUGGUCCCAGUCACAAACCAUAUAUUUUGAUGAAUGACUGUGCUGGGCGUUCAACCUUGGGAACCAUUGAGCACCAUCUGCUUUCCUGAAAGGCUCGGAGACUUCACUUGGCACCAGGGUAGAGGCACAGAGAGUCCCCAACUGACAGAUCUUCUAGGAGAAACCCCUCUAUUAAUAAUGCCAUCGUAGCUAUGGGAAGUGUGAGUUUUCAUUUCCUCGGGGUUCGGGGGGAGGAAGAACUAAAAGCGAGGCUUCAGAAAUCCCCUUGGGCGUAGUCUAUUUUAGGCUGGCAGAGCACACCCAGCUUGUGGGUAGGAAACAGCACCUCUGCUUGUGGAGAUGAGA
Molecule: long non-coding RNA, 648 nt
Organism: Sciurus carolinensis (gray squirrel)
Lineage: Eukaryota; Metazoa; Chordata; Mammalia; Rodentia; Sciuridae
Exons: 3
Source: RefSeq, a predicted model, not a curated record